AUGAACGCUAAAAAUGUACCUAACACAUUGCUAGUUAAACAAUAACAAAUUGUAGCAAACAGGUGCGUAAAAACUCAGUACUAACGUUAAAAACAACAUAAUUCGUUGGUAAAAAAUAACUUAAGAGAUUUUUAACUUAGGCUGACUUUUAAUUAGAUUGUUGGUAGAAUAAUAGAAUACACAAGUCUACGAUUAAUAGCUGGUCUAAACGGAUUUACAGCCACAUCAGAACUGAGAUAAGGUCUGAGCUCCUUCGGGGGGCAGCAGUGCGGAAUCUUGAACAAUAAGCGAUAAGCUUGAUUCAGUGACAUUUAUGGGUGAAUAGAAGGCUGAUGUCGUAAAACCCUAUCAAGAAAAAAAAAUAAUGCUUUUUAUUCUAAUAAGAAGUCCUAGCUAAACUCUGU
RNAcentral lists this ribosomal RNA (404 nucleotides) under uncultured bacterium. RNAcentral describes it as "partial 16S ribosomal RNA". It matches the Rfam family "Bacterial small subunit ribosomal RNA", at positions 30 to 506 of the family's 1533-position model. The record is from RNAcentral.